Molecule: long non-coding RNA, 3993 nt
Filed under: Theobroma cacao (cacao)
Lineage: Eukaryota; Viridiplantae; Streptophyta; Magnoliopsida; Malvales; Malvaceae
Description: long non-coding RNA (TCAC_LNC003905)
Source: RNAcentral
AUACCUUGGUCGAGGGCUAUCGCAACCGAGUCCGCCAAGGCUGUUAAAAAGUCAUGUACGCAUAAAUCAUGUUUUUAUUUUGAAAACAUAGUCGUUCCUUGGCGUUGGCUGAGUUCACCCUCACGUGGUGGUUUAGCGUGAAGUGAACUCUAAAGUGUUAACCUCAGGAGUUAUCCAUCCACGCCUCUCAUACUGAGGUAAGAAUAUAAUAGGGUUACCAUGCCCCUCUAAUAGGCUGGUCCACGGAACCCGUCCACUACAGCGACCAAUAUAUAACCAACCAAUUCAAUAAAAUUUGCAAUAGCAUGACAUGGCAAUUAUUUUAUUUUACAGCCUCUCAAGGCAAAUUAACAUUUCAUACAUUUUCAACAGAAAUACCAAUUAAGCCAUUCAUGCAAAUAUUAUCAUAAGCCAUUCAAUUCAAAUCAUGAUUUAUAACACAGCAAUUAUGUCACGACCCAAAUUCCAGGCCAUGACCGGCGCAUGGGCCCAAUAGACGUGGUCUAUUAAGCCCAAGCAAGCCUAUUUAUUCAUCCUACUCAUUAUUCCAUCAAACCUUGCUAAGUCACAAAUUAUAACUUUAAAUCAAAAUAGUAAUAGACAUUGCCAACUCGUAUUGGCAUUUCUCAUUUAUUAUAUACAUUCAUUGUCUACAACAUGUAUUCCAAUAAUGUACAUUAGGUUCGCCUAUACAUAUCAAAAAAAAGACUUGACUUCCAGCGGAGGGACUCGAACGAAUGUACAGCUACUGAAUGUCGAGACACCUACCCAAAAGAUGGAUAUAAGUCUACAAGGACACCUCAUCCUAGUUACCGGCUGCCUCGUGAUCUGAAAACAUGAAGUUGAAAACGGUGAGUAUAAACCUAGUGAGUGAACAAGGAAGGGAACAAGCAUACCAUAAGGAAUCUUUAAUGAAAUCAUGAUACAUUCUUUUUUCAAAACAACGCAAUUUGUUACUAUUCUUAUUAAAAACCCCUCAUCAAGCCUUUAAAUGAUUAAUUAUUUGAAAAUCAUUAACCCAUGCAUAACGAACCAUUUGAAGAAUAAAAGCUUCAAUAUUACAUAAGUAAGUCAAAUACAACAACGAAUCUUCACUGCAGCGGAAAGGCAUUCUCGUUGCAGCGACGUUGGGAUUUAGUUAUUAACCGAACGAGGGUUUCUCAACUGGCCGAGGAUUUUUCACUAAACCUCCUCAUUUUAAACUUAACUCAUUUAAUCCUUAAUGUUGGAAGUUCAUGCUUCGAUAUAGUAGCAAAGAAGUAAAAGAUAGGGCAGCAAUUGAACAAGAUAGGAUACCAAAAUAGAAAGUUUUUUGCUACAGCGAGAUUUAAUCUCGCUGCAGCAAAAUUGUAACCCAAAAACAGAAUGUUUCUCGCUGUAGCAAGAAGCUAUAGUGUCAUUCUCGCUGCAGCGAAAAUGCAUCAUCGCUGCAGCAAGUUUUCGACCAACCUACCCUUUCAAAACCCGAGAUUUCUCGCUGCAGCGAGAAUGAUUCUCGCUGCAGCGAAAUACAGGGCAUCAAAUGAAAAUUUCCCUUUCUCCCAAAAAAAACCACCCUGCUUGAAAUGUUCAAAACCAAUAUGAAACACAUAACAAUUUCUCAAGGUUUAACAUGUCAAGUUUCACAUGCAUUACAACCAUAAACCAUUAUCCAUCAAUUUCCUAUAACACACAUAUUUACGUAUGUAUAUAUAUAUAUGCAUAUACCCAUCAUCAUCAUCACACCAUCCCAUCAUCAUCAUCACCAGCUCAUGCGCACUCCCUACUCGCACAUGGCUGGGUCAUCACCGGGUUAUGCAUACUCCCUACUCGCACAUAGCCGAGUCAAUAUAAUUACACAACAUUAUAUUCAAGCAUAUAUGUAUAUCAAUAUAAUGCAGCCACAUAAAAAUCCAUAAUAACCACAUAUCACAACAUAAAUCAUUUCAAGAGCUUGUUCCCAAGGCAUUCAUUUUCAUGAAAAAUCGUAUAAAAUCAUUCAAACGUUUGUCAAAUACAUUAUAUUCCCAAAAUAAGUUUUGAAGGCAGUCCACUCACCAAUUGAUUAUAAAGCCUUUAGAUGACUCCAAUUUCCUUAAUUGUCCAAAUGAGAUGAUGGGGCUUCCUUAAAACCUAGGAUCACAUUAACAUAAACAAUAGAUCAAUUUACACACUAUGAAUUCUAAAAGCUAUCUCUUAGCUAGUUUUCAAUUGCCACAUUAAAUGGCUAUCUAUGUUCACUAUCUUAAUCACUAAAAAAAAUAAUGAACAUAGUCAACAAUAAAACAGCUCAUAAAUCCCAAUUACUAGCCAUUUUCUGUAGCUAAAAAUCGAGCUUAGUUCAUCACUUACCCUAGGACUCCUUUAUAGUCAAAUUCUCUUCCAAUUGCUUCCAAAUCAAUGGAGUAAUUCUCUCUUUCUCUCUCUAGAAUGCCCAAUUAGUAAGAGAAAGUUUGGAAAUAAGCUUUAUCAAGGGUUUUGAAGUGAGAGGAUGAAAGAAUUCAAAGGUUCUAGUCAAAAGGGUUCAAAGGUAUGAAAACUAGAGCUAAAGAGAGAAAAUCAUUCAAGCUUUAAUCAAGCUUCCAUGGAGUUUUGAAGAAACGUGAGAGAGGAGAAGAAGAAGAAGGCCAGCUGCUGGAAAUUCAAGAUAUUUAUAGGCAAUCUUAUCCUUUCCCUUAAAAUUACAAAAAUGCCCCUCCACCAAUUAACUUAUUCUCCUCCAAUCUUUUAUGCAAUCAUUUUAUUCUUUUGACACUGGGACAAGAUCCAUAAUGGUCUAGACAUGUUCGGAUUCAUACAAACUUAAAAUUUUAACUCGGGGUGAAAAAUGACCAUUUUGCCCCUAUUAUGAAAAUUAUUGAAACUUUUAGUUUUCUUCGUGUUUUCAUCAACACACAUCAUUUAUGCAGUCUUAUACCCAUUUAAGCCUUAAAAUAUCAUAAAACUUUCUUCUGGAAGCUUAUUAGAGAAAAUGACAAAACUACCCUUAGCUCGUAUUAUUACAUCUAUACUUAGUUACAAGUCUAUAGAGGUUGAGGUCUCACAAAUUAGUCUCCAAUUACUUCAUUUUCAAAACCAUCAUUGAAUUUCAAGACAAUUUUAUAAAAUCAUUUUCAUUUAAUCCCAUUUUGCUUAUAAAACAUAAAGAUUUACCAUUUAAACUCAUUUUCCAUAAAAUCACAAAAUCGGAUAAAAACCACUUUAGAUAAUUAAAAUGAUAGUAAGGUUACUCACUGUAUCAGGAGUUUGAAAUACUCCUAUUCUCAAUCCUCUGACACAACGUCUUUACCCUUGUUAAAGGGCUCACCACCUAUAUACAAAACACGACACAUAAUUCAAUAUACUGUGUCAUACCAUUAUAAAUCUAUUUCAGGCUUUUUACUAAUACAUGAAAUGGGAUGCAAAUUGUUCGGAUUAUCGUCUACAUACGAUGUUUUACACAAAUUCAAUUGUGUACCUAAAUAAAACAGUAUUGGCCUAAUUCGAUCUAUCACUCAAUUAAUUGGCCAAUAUGUCCAAUUCAACUCCAAUUAAUUCCAUUUUUCUUCCAAUUCUCCAAACCAUCAAACACAAGUCAAAUAGCAUAAAAUUUAGCAAAUCAUCUUCACAUUUUCUCUUGAGCAUUUCGGCCAUGGUGGGUGCAUCAAUACUAUAAUUUUUCUUACUUGAUUUUCUCACCGUAAUUCAUCAUUUCCUAACCAAUUCACUUGAAAUAAAAUCAUAUCCAUCAUCAAUAUUCCACAUGGAGAAUUCGGUGGGAGAACAUGAAUUUUUCUUACUUGAUUUUCAUGCUACACAUCACCAAUCAACUAAAAACACUAAAAUUUAUUGAAAUCUAACCAAAACAACCAUCAAAAUCUCUCUCCUAGGGUUUGAUCAGCACACUAUCCUUCAUGAUAUCUUGUGAUUCAACCAUGAAAAAUGCAAAAGAAUGUAUGGGAAAGGUAGAUCACAAGCUAGAAUUGAAAAAUCUUACCUUUUUUCACUUGUUUCUUUGAAUUUUCACACUUUUCC